This 582-nucleotide ribosomal RNA is filed under the name Triticum aestivum (bread wheat). RNAcentral describes it as "partial small subunit ribosomal RNA". The record is from RNAcentral. Lineage: Eukaryota; Viridiplantae; Streptophyta; Magnoliopsida; Poales; Poaceae.
AUGCUGAUGAACAAGGCAUCUAGUUACCUCCUGGACCAAUAUAAUGUGAUGGAGGGAUUGCAAAAGCAACACAAAAUUCUCAAACGCAAGCUUCCGGCUAUUCUUGAUGUCAUCACUGAUGCCGAGGAGCAGGCGACGGCCCACAGAGAAGGGGCGAAAGCCUGGCUCGAGGAGCUCAAGACGGUGACAUAUGAGGCACAUGAAGUCCUCGACGAAUUCAAGUAUGAAGCACUCCACCGUGAAGCCAAGAAAAAGGGGCACUACACUAAGCUUGGCUUCGAUGUGAUAAAACUCCUCCCUACUAACAACCGUAUCAUGUUCCGUUACAAAAUGGCUCGCAAGCUUUGCCAGAUUGUGCGGGCCGUUGAGGUCCUCGUCGCAGAGAUGCAAGCCUUUCGGUUCAAGUACCGGCCACAGCUGCCAAUGUUCAAAGAGUGGUGGCAGACAGAUUAUGUCAUCAUGGACGCACAAGAAAUGGCCAGCAGAUCCAGAGAAGAAGAUAAGAAAAAUAUUGUUGAUAUACUACUUGGUGAGCGCAGCUUAUAUACAAUGAACCUAAAAUUCAGAAGGAUAUUCAGUUGA